RNAcentral lists this ribosomal RNA (1068 nucleotides) under Alicyclobacillus sp. enrichment culture clone MRT18-36. RNAcentral's name for it is "bacterial SSU rRNA". It matches the Rfam family "Bacterial small subunit ribosomal RNA", at positions 336 to 1397 of the family's 1533-position model. The record is from RNAcentral. Lineage: Bacteria; Bacillati; Bacillota; Bacilli; Caryophanales; Alicyclobacillaceae.
CUCCUACGGGAGGCAGCAGUGGGGAAUCUUCCGCAAUGGGCGCAAGCCUGACGGAGCAACGCCGCGUGAGUGAGGAAGGCCUUCGGGUUGUAAAACUCAGUCACCUGGGAAGAGAGGUAUGGGGAGUGGAAUGCCCCAUACGAGACGGUACCAGGGGAGGAAGCCCCGGCUAACUACGUGCCAGCAGCCGCGGUAAUACGUAGGGGGCAAGCGUUGUCCGGAAUCACUGGGCGUAAAGCGUGCGUAGGCGGUCUUUCAAGUCCGGGGUGAAAACUCAAGGCUCAACCUUGAGAAUGCCUUGGAAACUGGGGGACUUGAGUACUGGAGAGGCAAGGGGAAUUCCACGUGUAGCGGUGAAAUGCGUAGAGAUGUGGAGGAAUACCAGUGGCGAAGGCGCCUUGCUGGACAGUGACUGACGCUGAGGCACGAAAGCGUGGGGAGCAAACAGGAUUAGAUACCCUGGUAGUCCACGCCGUAAACGAUGAGUGCUAGGUGUUGGGGGUUCAUCCCCUCAGUGCCGAAGGAAGCCCAAUAAGCACUCCGCCUGGGGAGUACGGUCGCAAGACUGAAACUCAAAGGAAUUGACGGGGGCCCGCACAAGCAGUGGAGCAUGUGGUUUAAUUCGAAGCAACGCGAAGAACCUUACCAGGGCUUGACAUCCCUCGGACCGGUUCAGAGAUGGACCUUCCCUUCGGGGCAGAGGAGACAGGUGGUGCAUGGUUGUCGCCAGCUCGUGUCGUGAGAUGUUGGGUUAAGUCCCGCAACGAGCGCAACCCUUGACCUGUGUUACCAGCACGUAAUGGUGGGGACUCACAGGUGACUGCCGGCGUAAGUCGGGGGAAGGUGGGGAUGACGUCAAAUCAUCAUGCCCUUUAUGUCCUGGGCUACACACGUGCUACAAUGGGCGGUACAACGGGAAGCGAGACCGCGAGGUGGAGCGAAACCCAAAAAGCCGUUCGUAGUUCGGAUUGCAGGCUGCAACCCGCCUGCAUGAAGCCGGAAUUGCUAGUAAUCGCGGAUCAGCAUGCCGCGGUGAAUCCGUUCCCGGGCCUUGCACACACCGCCCGU